This 361-nucleotide ribosomal RNA is filed under the name uncultured Thauera sp. Its description in RNAcentral is "bacterial SSU rRNA". It matches the Rfam family "Bacterial small subunit ribosomal RNA", at positions 1024 to 1382 of the family's 1533-position model. Lineage: Bacteria; Pseudomonadati; Pseudomonadota; Betaproteobacteria; Rhodocyclales; Zoogloeaceae. The record is from RNAcentral.
AGCCCGGUGACUAGGUGCUGCAUUGGGCUGUCGUCAGCUCGUGUCGUGAGAUGUUGGGUUAAGUCCCGCUAACGAGCGCAACCCUUGUCAUUAGUUGCCAUCAUUUAGUUGGGCACUCUAAUGAGACUGCCGGUGACAAACCGGAGGAAGGUGGGGGAUGACGUCAAGUCCUCAUGGCCCUUAUGGGUAGGGCUUCACACGUCAUACAAUGGUCGGUACAGAGGGUUGCCAAGCCGCGAGGUGGAGCCAAUCCCUUAAAGCCGAUCGUAGUCCGGAUCGUAGUCUGCAACUCGACUACGUGAAGUCGGAAUCGCUAGUAAUCGCAGAUCAGCAUGCUGCGGUGAAUACGUUCCCGGGUCUU